This 74-nucleotide transfer RNA is filed under the name Dipodomys ordii (Ord's kangaroo rat). It matches the Rfam family "tRNA". From Rfam's summary of the family: Transfer RNA (tRNA) molecules are approximately 80 nucleotides in length. Their secondary structure includes four short double-helical elements and three loops (D, anti-codon, and T loops). Further hydrogen bonds mediate the characteristic L-shaped molecular structure. tRNAs have two regions of fundamental functional importance: the anti-codon, which is responsible for specific mRNA codon recognition, and the 3' end, to which the tRNAs corresponding amino acid is attached (by aminoacyl-tRNA synthetases). tRNAs cope with the degeneracy of the genetic code in two manners: having more than one tRNA (with a specific anti-codon) for a particular amino acid; and 'wobble' base-pairing, i.e. permitting non-standard base-pairing at the 3rd anti-codon position. The record is from Rfam by way of RNAcentral. Lineage: Eukaryota; Metazoa; Chordata; Mammalia; Rodentia; Heteromyidae.
GUCUAUCUAGUUCAGUGGUAGAGAGCAUGUGUUUACCAUGCACAAAGAUCUUGGUUCAAACCCCAGCACUGAUA